UUGUGAGGACCAUUGAAAAAUUCAUCUAAGUGUAUGGUGGCUCCUUUAUAAUUAUUUUUUCUGUAACCUAUUUCUAUCUGUAAAAACUGAAGUGUCCAUCAUUACAUUGAGAAAGGACAAGCAGCAUCCAAUUUUAAAUUUUCAUUUCUAUUUUUGAACAGCAAACAAAGAAUGCGUUUUCUCUGUCAAAUUUCCUAUGCAGAAGGUAUCCUCUCCCCUUAAUGUGGCGCAGAAAUAAUCUUAAGAUAAGUUAUUAAAAAAAAAAAUAUUUAAAAAUAAAAAUACGCUAAUCAAAAUCUUUAAAUACUACUUCUUAGGGGAGAAUAGAAGAAACAAAAGAAAGCGAUUCUUUUAAACAUUUGUGCUGUUAUGUAACUGCAUGACAUUAUCUUUUCAAAGAGUUAUUUUACUUCCAUUUUUCAACUCUAAAUAAUAAACCUCAAUUCUCAGUAUUCUGUGCAAGUUUUUCAGGGAAAAAUUGUUUUCAACCUGAUCCGGAGGACAAAAAAAAAGUUGAGAUGUUGAUGGUUUAUUGCUGUUUUAUCGCCAACAUAUUCCAAUUUCAUUGCAAUUGGAUUGGCAAUAAAAUGGACAAAUAAUUGGUCGACCGAUGAUUCCCGGAUUGGUCGAUUAUUGGCAAUAAAUGACCAAUAAAUGACCAAUCGAAGGAAAUAAAAUUGGAAUAAAAUUGGAAAUAAAUGACCAAUAUAUUGGCAAUCAUCUUUCAAAUUUUGCUACAUGGGAGAUCCAAUAAGUAUCAGUUGCGACUUAAAAUAAUUCACAGAAGUGACAAUAGCCUAGAUGUCAGUAUAGUCUAGUGACAAUUUAUUGUCAGUAUGAGAAAGUCUAUUCCUUUGAUUUUUGUUUCAGUAUUUUGGUGGAUUUGUUACAAAAGCUCAUAUCUCAAACUUCGAGUCAUUUCAUGGCACUCCAAAACCUGACUUUAAAUUUAAAAACAUAUCAAAAUGGUGCCAGAGCCACUGGAUAUCUCCGAGCAUGAGUUGCUCUUCAAAGCAACCAAUUUAUGCAAACUGGCCUCCAUAGAUUUGUCUCAGUACCUGGAGGCAUACAUGAGAAAUAUUAGAAAUCUCUACAAUAACUCCUGA
This 1106-nucleotide long non-coding RNA is filed under the name Bemisia tabaci. RNAcentral's name for it is "lncRNA ENSASIAIIG013306". The record is from RNAcentral. Lineage: Eukaryota; Metazoa; Arthropoda; Insecta; Hemiptera; Aleyrodidae.